This is a long non-coding RNA of Protopterus annectens (West African lungfish), 178 nucleotides long. RefSeq lists it as uncharacterized. The transcript has 3 exons. The record is from RefSeq and is a predicted model, not a curated record. Lineage: Eukaryota; Metazoa; Chordata; Ceratodontiformes; Protopteridae.
UAAAGGGGUGGCAAUGUUUGUGAUUCGGUCCGAGGCAAAGCAUUCUGUUUAGAAACGAGCCAGUGCCCCUUUAAUGUUAUAGUCGUCCUAGAAAAACAUACACAAAAAGGAAACAGAAGGACAAACAUCAAAGAGGUCCCUCGACUCUACACAAGGUACAGCAGCCUGAAGCCGGUGA